AAAAUCUGACAGGGUUAAAUUGUCUAUCAGGUCAAGAUCUAUCUGCCCUGAUAUUUUCAGACAAAACAGACACCCUGUUGUUGGGUUGCUGCCCCAGAAUUAGUAAUUUUAAGGAAAUUUUGCAGUUUUUGGUUAUUAUCUUGAAUAUUAUAAUAGAUAGAGAUAAACUGUAAACAGCAAUAAUGUUCAGCAAAGUAAGAUCUACAAAUAAGUCAAAUAACCAAAAUUGUCAAUUGACCCCUUAAGGAGUUAUUGCCCUUUAUAGUCAAUUUUUAGCAUUUUUCAUAAAUUUUUGUAAAUUUUUAGAAAAUAUUUUCCACUGUAAUUACUGGGCCAAGUUCAUUAUAGAUAGAGAUAAUUGUAGCAACAAGAAUGUUCAGUAAAGUAAGAUCUACAAACACAUCACCAUCACCAAAAC
This 418-nucleotide long non-coding RNA is filed under the name Mytilus galloprovincialis (Mediterranean mussel). The record is from RNAcentral. Lineage: Eukaryota; Metazoa; Mollusca; Bivalvia; Mytilida; Mytilidae.